GUGGGGAAUCUUAGACAAUGGGCGCAAGCCUGAUCUAGCCAUGCCGCGUGAGCGAUGAAGGCCUUAGGGUUGUAAAGCUCUUUCGUGGGGGAAGAUAAUGACUGUACCCCAAGAAGAAGCCCCGGCUAACUCCGUGCCAGCAGCCGCGGUAAUACGGAGGGGGCUAGCGUUGUUCGGAAUUACUGGGCGUAAAGCGCACGUAGGCGGACUGGAAAGUCAGGGGUGAAAUCCCGGGGCUCAACCCCGGAACUGCCUUUGAAACUCCCAGUCUUGAGUUCGAGAGAGGUGAGUGGAAUUCCGAGUGUAGAGGUGAAAUUCGUAGAUAUUCGGAGGAACACCAGUGGCGAAGGCGGCUCACUGGCUCGAUACUGACGCUGAGGUGCGAAAGCGUGGGGAGCAAACAGGAUUAGAUACCCGUGUAGUCC
RNAcentral lists this ribosomal RNA (425 nucleotides) under uncultured bacterium. RNAcentral's name for it is "partial 16S ribosomal RNA". It matches the Rfam family "Bacterial small subunit ribosomal RNA", at positions 354 to 796 of the family's 1533-position model. The record is from RNAcentral.